RNAcentral lists this small RNA (4882 nucleotides) under Rattus norvegicus (Norway rat). RNAcentral describes it as "uncharacterized LOC102555623". The record is from RNAcentral. Lineage: Eukaryota; Metazoa; Chordata; Mammalia; Rodentia; Muridae.
UUUACUUUUUAAAUGUUUCUAUCACUAUGUUUCUAUCAUUCUUAAGAUGUACAACAAUAGUAUUUAGAAAAUAAAUAUAUCCAUUACUACAUGCCUGACAGCAUCCAGCACCACGUAGCAUUCUAAGUAGAAGUCUCAGAAGAGAACUGCAAUGGAAAGUGUAUGAGCUGUGUGGUUUGCAGCAUCAGCACCAAACCCAUCCAUCGUCCUGGAACAUGAGGAACAGUCCCUGGACUGACAAAUGAGUAGGCUGGCAAAGCAGAGUGAUCUCAUGUGACCACGACGAGCCUGUGAAGUAGGUCUUAACUAUCUUUGUUUUGUAGCAAGGAAACAGGCACACAGAGUUCAACAGUCAAGGUCACAAGCUAAGCAGCCAAGGUCACAGAGCUAAUCAAUACUGGGGGCAUUGAAUGAGAUCUUCUGGUUCUUCCCCCAGCCUGAUGCCCAUUCACGGAAGCUUCAUUUUCCGCAACCUUAACUUAACAGGACCCACUAUAUUCCUCCUGUAAAGGAGAAACCGUAAUUUAUAUGUCAUAAGUUAAAACAAAUGGCUGGAGAGAUUUUCCCUACAAUUGGAUUGCUCGUUUAUAAAUGCACAAAAUCUUAUAAUUCAACCGAUUUUGAAGAAGGAGAGAGGAGACACCAAUUGCUGGUAGUGGCCAGAGCAGAAAAUGAAAAAUGUCAAGGCCUGACUGAAUGUCUAUUCAUCUUCCCCUCUUUGUCCUGUGGGUGGUCAGCUGCUUCCUAUUUAACUAACAUUUACCUCACGACAACACACUUGCUUUUACACUGAGAGCUAUCACUAUAAAUCUGCUCGAUUGAUCUGUUAAACUAACAAAAUAGAAAUGGACUGCAAGUAGGAAAAUGAGCCCAAGCCCAACAGACUUUGAAAAUAGUAGAGGAGGGGGAUAAGACUCUGUGGCUGUGGAGCCCCACCCAUCCUCCUGGGUAACAGCAGAGCCCACAUCGGGGAACGGUUAUUUCAGACCAUGGCCCACAAGGCGCAGGUGAUAGAUACCUACUGCUGGCUGUUCCCUCCGGGCCCCACAUUCCUCCACCAACCUCGUGAUUCGCACAGGUUCCCGUUCUAAACCCAGGCUGGGCUCUGCACACAUAAUGUGCUCUCUCUCCUGAUCUUUGCUUUUCAGGGGAAGGCAAACAGAAACUGAAAGAUCAGGUCCUGGCUAAGAAAAAGAAGAUUUUCUUUCACUCUGGGCCAAAGGGGAGCACUGCUGAAACAUAAAAAUAAAAAUGAAAAAUGAAAAAUAAAGACAGCACCUUCACCGUCAGGGCCCUUUCAAACAGUAAAAUCUGUCUCUUUAUCCCAGCUCCUGCAGACACCAUCCAGGAGAAUCUGGGCAGAGCAGCACACCGACUCUGUUUGUUUGACUAGGUCUCUGACGGGUGAAGGUGUCACAUGACAGCCGUAUGGACAUCAGUCUCAGCAGCCUGGAAGACAUUUCCCCGACACUUUCAGAGGCCUGACUGAAUCACCAGUUCAAUGUUUUGUUUUGUUUUGUUUUGUUUUAAUCCAACCUGCUCUGAGUCAGGGGUCUUUUUCUUCAAAUUAACUUACUGACAGCACUGAAACCCUGACGGAAGGUUGAAUUUUUUUAAGGUAAAAAGUGAAUCGGAGGACAGUUUGAUAAGAAGGCCCAGAAGCUAUAAAUAUGUGCGUGAGAUCUGGGAGGACGUGGUCAUGCCCUUCCCAGCAAGCACACAGCGGAUUCACGGUGCUGUUUACUGAAGUGCUCUAAAUUUAGAAGAAGCAAGUCGAAUGGAGCCCUGCUCUGUGAGUCAGCCAAGAGCUAUCUGAUCCUCCCUUGCAGGGCCCGGUAGAGAAGAGAACUCUGAGGCCCCCAUGGGGGAAUCACCUCCAGGGGUUAUUCCUGUGACCAAACAUAGCCUUGCUGGUCAGAAAGUUUGCACGGCAGGGGGCUGCUCCUCUGUAUUAGGUCCUUCUAGCAGAGCAGACUCACCCACAGGCUGGAAGAGACAAAGGGUGAUGCUCUUGGGCAGUUCUGGCUGGCUUCCCGGUGCUUCAAACUUAUGGUACAACUGGUUGAAUCUUCUCUAGAGGUGAAGACCAUGAAUGAAUCUUCCAGGCUGGAUGCACAAGGCAUGGGUGACAGCCUGGAAUCCUGAAUCUUGAUCUGGUUUUUAAAACGCUGCAAAGGCCGAUGUGCUUAGAUUUUUAUGUAUAUGAAGUCUUUACAAUUGCAGAAUUGGUAUUUCUUCACCUGUGCUUCAAAAAUAACUUUUUUUAAUUUAAAAACUGCGUGACUCAGCACCUGAUAUUGCCACAUGGUUAAACUAAAUCCGUUUAAGACAAAAAGAUUUUGACGAGAGAUCUACGUGUCACUAAUACAGGCAGGCUUCUGGCUGCUGUGCCUGUGGUAGAUGGAUCGAGCUAAGUGAUCGUGGGGUUACUCUCCUGGCACAUCAUUUCUACUCUCCGACAAAAUCCACCCGUCUAAGUUCCUCUCCCUGAAGGCUACAAAACCAGAAAGGCUUGGCUGAAUCUGUUUCGAAACACAAAUCCAGGAUUAGAGAAGAACUCUACUGUUUGGAAUAGUGGUGGACUCGAUUCUUUGGAAUAUCUUGGUGAGUGAAAUGAAGUCACCAGCAAUAUUUUCUCCACACUGGUCACCGUGGGAACCGAAAGCAGUGAAGCCCAGUGGACUGACAACUGAGACGAUGCAGAUGCCACAGUAUGGGGGUCUAGGGGGCCAUCCUAAGAUGGGUAACACUUUGCUCAGAAGCUGGGACACCUACUGCUUCCUGCCCAGAUACAUCCCUAAGUAAGGUGCUCAUUUCAACCCCUGUACACAAUUUAAAUUCUAUACCAUAAUAUAAGGAACGAGAAGCAUGAUUACUGCCUUUUAGAGGCCCCUCUAAAUACCACAGCAGAACCAGCCAGAUAGACAAAUCAUUUCACAAAAGAAACGCAGUAAAUGACAAAUAGGAAAUCAAAAGGGCCCAGGGUCUGACUGGGACAGAGAACACUACCACCAGCCUUUGUGGAUGUGAUUAUGGGUUCUGAUUCCCAUUGUCUAAUCAAGGCUGAAGUGGCCCCUUGGAAGCAGUGCCCAAGCGACACAGCUGAUUUCAAAUGGACUUGUUCCCAACAUGGACUUGGUACAAGUCGUGAGAUCUAAAGUCAGAGUUUGAAACAUAAACCUGUCUCUCUAAAGCCAAGCUUCUCGUUGAACCUAAGGGUUUUCCAUGGGUACCAAGUAAAGCACGGGGCUGGGGACAACCAAAUGUUGGUUGCAAAUAUGGUUAUUUUGCAAAUAUGUUAUUUUCUGAGUGUCGAUGUAUAUUCAUAUACACUGUUUGACAUUCAUUCUAUGCAGGGUUGCAUGGCCAUUAUCCUGAAAUGGGUCUUACAGGUGAUUCAAAUGGUUUUCAAGGAGGAUUUUGGCUCCCCUUACUUUUUGUGUUAAGAUACAUUUCAGUGUCCAGACCAGUGUCCAGCAUGGGACAUACUGAGAAAACAAGAACAUAGAUGUUGUCCAGCACCCAAGUACUGAUCCAGACCUGCUUGUUAAUACAGUGGUAUCUCUUCUGGGAUAAAGACAAGAGAUAAGUGUGUGUAGCCCCGAGCGUGUGAGCUUAGCAACUCAGAACUAGGAGAACGUAUUUCCAAGUUUGUAUUCACAUGGGAAAAUUUAUACGUAUUAGCUUGGAUGCGGAUGGCUUUCCUGUCUGUGUUUCUCUAUGUAGCCAGAAAAACCUUCUGGACUUGUUUCUAUUCCAAGAGGCUGCAUGAAUGGUAAAACAUACAGAUGCCAACUUGAGUCAUAUAGAAGGGAACACGUGUUUUCGGGACAUACUAAAAUAGCACAGUAAAAUCGGGCAGGUGUUUGAUCAGGGAAUACGAAACCGUCUUCUCCAAAGACUCUGGAGGUUUUUUUUACUUGAAUGUUUUCAGCAAAAUAAACGGUUACUAGGAAAACAUGCUGUAAACGUAAGAAGGGUCUGCUGGCUUGAAAUGUGGCUGGCUGAUUUCUCCUUCCUUUGUAAUCCCAUUAAGCUCGGUAGCAAAACUCAGCCCUCCUGGCAGCUCUUCUCACCCGCAGCUGCCGGCAGAAAGUGCUCAGUGCCCAGAGUAAAGUCUUCAUUGGUUAAUGACCCUUGACCUUUCAUAGGUGGUGUCUUCCGUGGCAACACUUAGCUUGGAGGCUCCUACAUGAUAUACAGACUGACCAAGAGACAGCAUGGAAUUUCGUUGGAGUCCAAGGCUGGCGUGAUAAAAGGGAAUUACACACCCAAAGAUGUCUAUUCUGGAUUGACUCAACUGUUGAGUUAAUUUUUUUUUUAUUUAGGAUAUAGUGAUUUCUAAUUUGUACUGAUAACAAUCUAUUAGAGUUCUAACUGAUCUUGGUUGUCCAGACAGAAGGCAAGCAAAAUUUAAAAGAUGAUUUUUGCUACUUUUGGGUCUUGUUUCUAAGAACUUUGAAUGUGGCUUUUAAAACAUCAUUAAUACUGCGUACGGGCUGAAGCAUUUAAUGCCUCAUUUAUAGAUCAUUCUUUCUAUUCAGCUAGCAAAAAUCUCCCUGAAUUUUGGCAGUUUGUCUCCAUUAAUUUCAAAUAAACAUUUUAACCACGGACUCAAUAGCACUGAGUGUGUGCUCGGACCCCACUCUCCAGCCAUUUGCAGGUUAGAUUGUUCCUAAAAUGGGCCAGACCCUUCUCUGGGCGGAAGAGGGAGAAAUGUGAGUGAAAGUGGUGGUGGGGGGAUACUAAUGAAGAAAGAAUGAAAAGUUUUACGUUUAUGAAGCCUUUUAUUGUCCGAAAUGUUGGGGGGGGGGAAACAAGUCAAACAUGAUCCUCCUCCUUGCUCUCACUCUUUAUUUCCCCACCAGGCCCCAGUCUCCCC